CCGCCACUCCUCUUACGAAACUUUGUGUUUCUUUGUUUUUAAAAAUAUAGCUAUCUUCCAUGGAAAAGACAUCACUUAGGUGGACCGGUGAUGGGUUUGGGUUUUUAAACAAACUAAAAAAUAUUUAAGCCUCCUCAGUUUUCAUUUCUCACGUACCAGUGAGUGUCACCCAGAGAAACAAAAGAUCUCUUGAGCCUGCGAUCAUUUUUAAGAGCACCAGGGGGUCCGGGGAUGAAGAGGCUUGGGAAGCCGUGACCUAGACUCCGUCAGACAUACUCUCGCUCCUUGCCAGCUGCCCAUGACUUCUUUAUCAGAGGGUCAACAAGGGAGGGUUCGACCUGGGCAGAAGACUGUUUUAGGGGAACUCAGCCGCCGAGGUCACACCUACUGGGCCGCAGCUGAAGACGGGACAUCCGCCUGCUGCCAGCAGGGGAAGGAGCCACGGCUGAGGAGCCCCAGCCCAGGUGGCGGCCCAGCUGCGGGAACGAAGACAGGCAUCUCCUCCCGCCGUCCCAGACUCGGGAAGGGUAGAAGGACAGAAGCCGGGCCUUGACGGCUGCUCUGCAGAAGAACCAGGGAGUGGAUAAGGGAGCCGGGAGAGCCCAUAGAGUGGGGUCAGAGAGUGCGGACAGCACAGCAGCAAGCACGCUUUUUAGGACCUAAGCGCUGUCCCAAGCCCUCCACAAAGUCUGACUCUCAACCCUGCACUGUCACCGUCCUGGGUAAGGAUGAGGGUCUCAGGGCAAAGUGCUGGAAGCAGGACUGAAACCCAGCAAGUCUGACUCCACGGCUGCCCUCUUCAUAGCUCUACCCGCGGCCUCCCAGGCAGGGCCUGAGCAGGAAGGAGCCCUGGGCCAGCGCCUCAGAGGGACGGGCCACCUGGAGCAGUGUCCCCGGCCCCUGACGGCUGCCACAUCAUCCCUGCGCCGAUCGCUGAGCGACGCGUCCCAGCUCCCCUGGAAGCCUUCACGUUGGGCUGGGGGGUCUGCUUUCGGUGCCAGUAGGUGGCCGCCUGCUCUUUCCCCAUCUCCAUUUCAGAUUUCUUUUCUUGAAUGGGAUGCGCUUCCCGAAGUCGAACCUAAGUUCUUCCAGCGGCAGCACCCCGCCUCUCCCGGGCCUUCUGCCCCUGGCAGGAGGGAGAGCAGAAGGGCCCAAUACUUUGACCUUAGGUCUUGAGAAGCCAGAAAUGCUCCUGCUCUCAGCCCCAGCUUCUCUGGGCCACCCCAGCAGGUUCCUACUUCCCACAUUCCAGAGCCAGCCCCUCCCUUCUGCCCACCGCCUCAAAUCCGGCUCUGCCGACAGACACCCACGGGAGAGUUUUUCCCACAAUCCCCUUCUCUUUGCCCUUUCAAGGUUCUGGUGGGGGAGGGGGUGAAGAGGGGCUGUGCCAGGGCCAUGCACACGACAGCAACAUGUAUGUGAACACAGGAUGAAGGAAGAAAAUCACUGAGCUCAGCCCGUGGGACGGACGGGGGAGGGGCACACCCUCCAAGUCUGGGAGCUGCGCCCACCGACCACCUUCACCAGGCACCCGACACUCGGAGUCCGAAUCUGCCUGCUCGCUAUCCUUCUGCGGUUCUCUCUCGGUGGCCUCUCUGCCCCUUCCAGGGCCUCACCACUGUCCUGGACAGCUUGGCCUCAGCCUGGACGGUGGCACUGACCAGUCAGGCAAGAGAAGAAUCUAGGCCGGGAAGGGGAGGGAGAGCGGAAGAUGUUUCCUCCCGUCCUACAUAACCCUUGGCAGCAAAGUUGGGGGCUCCAUUGCCCGAUGCCUCUUUCUCUCCCCACCAAUGCCAGGGGGCUCAGCCUAUCGUCCACAUUCUGUACAGAAACCAAGCAUCCUGCUAGGAGACCCAAGAGGCCUUUUCUCCUCUGAGGAAGUGGGUAUUUCUGUAUGAUUCACCCCCAGGGCCCUAAAGCCCCCAUCCCAGAGGACGUCGUGUGAGACCACCCAGAUCCAAGUGUCCCAGCCUCUCCGGUCCCUAGGGAGCACAAGAGAAGGAGACCCCUGGGUCUCCGGCCAGGCCCUUCCCUUCCAGCCCAAGCCAAACCAGCUGGAGCUAUAGCUUCUCAUCUGUAAAUGGAGAAGAUCAGACCCAGCUCGUGGGGUCCCUGUGUGGGCUGUCAGAUGAGUCCUCUAGUCCACAGCCACCGCUCGACGAAUGACCG
Molecule: long non-coding RNA, 2169 nt
Organism: Mustela erminea (ermine)
Lineage: Eukaryota; Metazoa; Chordata; Mammalia; Carnivora; Mustelidae
Exons: 3
Source: RefSeq, a predicted model, not a curated record